GGGAGGCAGCAGUAGGGAAUCUUCCGCAAUGGACGAAAGUCUGACGGAGCAACGCCGCGUGAGUGAUGAAGGUUUUCGGAUCGUAAAGCUCUGUUGUUAGGGAAGAACAAGUACCGUUCGAAUAGGGCGGUACCUUGACGGUACCUAACCAGAAAGCCACGGCUAACUACGUGCCAGCAGCCGCGGUAAUA
RNAcentral lists this ribosomal RNA (191 nucleotides) under uncultured Bacillus sp. RNAcentral's name for it is "partial 16S ribosomal RNA". It matches the Rfam family "Bacterial small subunit ribosomal RNA", at positions 343 to 525 of the family's 1533-position model. The record is from RNAcentral. Lineage: Bacteria; Bacillati; Bacillota; Bacilli; Caryophanales; Bacillaceae.